UGUGUGGUGGCGCAGUUCGGUAGCGCAUCUGACUUUUAAUCAGACGGUCGUGGGUUCAAAUCCCAUCCACGCAACUA
Molecule: transfer RNA, 77 nt
Filed under: Roseburia sp.
Lineage: Bacteria; Bacillati; Bacillota; Clostridia; Lachnospirales; Lachnospiraceae
Description: tRNA-Lys
Rfam family: tRNA
About the family: Transfer RNA (tRNA) molecules are approximately 80 nucleotides in length. Their secondary structure includes four short double-helical elements and three loops (D, anti-codon, and T loops).
Source: RNAcentral